CAGCAGCCGCCACGGGAAUACAGAGGGUGCGAGCGUUAAUCGGAUUUACUGGGCGUAAAGCGUGCGUAGGCGGCUUCUUAAGUCGGAUGUGAAAUCCCUGAGCUUAACUUAGGAAUUGCAUUCGAUACUGGGAAGCUAGAGUAUGGGAGAGGAUGGUAGAAUUCCAGGUGUAGCGGUGAAAUGCGUAGAGAUCUGGAGGAAUACCGAUGGCGAAGGCAGCCAUCUGGCCUAAUACUGACGCUGAGGUACGAAAGCAUGGGGAGCAAACAGGAUUAGAUACCCCGGUAGUCCCUGUCUCUUAUAC
This 304-nucleotide ribosomal RNA is filed under the name uncultured bacterium. Its description in RNAcentral is "partial 16S ribosomal RNA". It matches the Rfam family "Bacterial small subunit ribosomal RNA", at positions 509 to 807 of the family's 1533-position model. The record is from RNAcentral.